GAGCGGACCAGUUGGGGGGGUGCGUGCUUUAACGCGGCGGCCGUGGGUCUCCACCCGAGACUAUGGCGGCUGGCAUUGCACCGGAGCGGGGCGGAGAACUAGGAAUAUAUAGUUAAAGUAUCUUUAUGUUUUUAUAACUGCGUUUGCUAAAAAAAAAAAAUUUUUUAAAAACGCGCGUUUUUCCUUUUUUUUUUAACAGCAACUUAGUUUUUAACACGCGAAAAAAACAUAUUUCCCUCCUUCCAACCCUCCACAUUCCGGAUGGUGGCGUAGCCGUCAAACGCGUGGCCUGCUCGGGGGCGAAAUUGCCACAAUGGAGCCCCGCGUCGGAGCAGCGGGUCUUCGUGCGCCGCCGUAGCCGAGAGCGCGGCCAGCUCGCACCGCGUCGUCGUCGUCGAACAGGCGCCCCUAAAAUGGUGACCGGUCCACGGCUCGACUGAGUGACACGAUGCGUGAGUACAAAGUGGUGGUCCUGGGCAGCGGAGGGGUGGGCAAGUCCGCCCUGACGGUGCAGUUUGUCACCGGGACGUUCAUUGAGAAGUACGACCCCACCAUAGAGGACUUCUACCGCAAGGAGAUCGAGGUGGACUCCUCGCCGUCGGUGCUGGAGAUCCUCGACACCGCCGGUACCGAGCAGUUCGCCUCCAUGCGGGACCUCUACAUCAAGAACGGCCAAGGGUUCAUCCUGGUCUACAGCCUGGUCAACCAGCAGAGCUUCCAGGACAUAAAACCCAUGAGAGACCAGAUCAUAAGAGUAAAAAGGUACGAGAAGGUUCCCGUCAUCCUGGUGGGCAACAAGGUGGACCUGGAGAGCGAGAGGGAGGUGUCGUCCAGCGAGGGCCAGGCCCUGGCCGAGGAGUGGGGCUGCCCCUUCAUAGAGACCUCGGCCAAGAGCAAAACCAUGGUAGACGAACUGUUCGCCGAGAUCGUCCGGCAGAUGGACUUCGCCGCCCAGCCCGACAAGGACGACCCCUGCUGCUCGUCUUGCAAUAUACAGUAGCCGGGGCGAGGAGAGGUUUGCGGCAGAGAGAGACCCGCACUGAGCACGCUGACACACAUGCACAUGCCAACUUGAUGGUUGAACACCAUGGAGUUAUUGAAGCCUAAGUGACAUUCAUUAUGUGAGUAAUGGCGUCGAGAAACAAUGAACAAGUACGACAUACCCUCGCCUUAUGUUGCUCUCAUCAUGGGACUUGUUUUUUUUUUUCUUCCUUUUUUUUUUUUUUAAAGAUAACACUUCAUUCUGCUGUGAUUCUCUUUAGUUUCCUUGAUGCAUUUACUGUGACAAGCCAGCACACAACUCCAACAAGAGAAAUAUUUCCUGCAAGUACCAAGAAAGGAUUGGAGUUGUGUACAUUUUGUGCAGUGUUUUUCUACUCAUCGCCGGCCUGAACCAAAGAGGUGCUUAUUCCCCAAUCGCCUUCUUCCAUCCGAGGAAGAGAGAGAAUAGAGGCUUGGCAAGUUGCUCCCAGGAUUUCGUGGAGGUUGUGUGAUGUCCAGUGUGGACCAACCUAUGUCUAUACUUGUGUUACCAGUGAGGCUUGCACAACAAUCGCUAUGUUGUGUGUCCUCCAUACUGCAGGGCAACUACACUACAGAGGUGGUUUAAACAGGACUCGGGGUGAGAAAGUGGCUCAUUUUCUCCUGCAAGCUCAGCAGCUGUCCAGUCCAAGGUAAUAAGAAAGGGUACAAUUAUUUAGACAUUUUAUCAGCGUUUUUACACAAAUCCUUAGAAAAGGUCACAUGCUGCUACUUUGGCUUUGACACAUGGCCGCACAACUAUUGUGGUUCUUCACCACGUGUGAUCUUUGAAAAUCCUCGUUUCGGGUGCAUAUAGGAGGCCCAUGAGGCUUUGGAAAGGUUUGUGACCCCCUUGCUGUUUUAGGGGUCUGUGUUGGCGCCCUGCUAAAACUAUCAUGUCCAGUUGUGAUUGCACUCGUGUGAUUUGGAUAACAUCGAACCCGUCUGCCCCGUGGGAUAUUUGAGGACCAGUCAUAGACAAUUUCGAGUAAAAAGCAAAUUUAGUUUUCACUCGCAUGCAAAACAUUCAAACUCGGAUUGUUUCCCUGGCUUCGAGUCUCUCCUGAAGGACAGUGCAGCGAAGACACAAUAAACUCCCUUCUUGUCUUUUAUGGACACACACCUGUUGUCGACUUUGGACUAGCGACUGCGCAAGAUCAAGGCCGUGGAACAGAGACACGCUGCAGGCUUACACACACACAUGCAUCAAAAAAAUAUACGCCACAUAUACGACGCAAAUCCCAUAGGGGUGAUGAAAGGAUGGUCAGCGCCUGAGAGCUGCGGCCGACCACCAUGGCCCCGCACUCCCUUCCCUCUGUUGCUAGAUAUCUCGAGAUGUAUAUUGUAUUAUGUAUAUGUGUUUUGCUACGGAGGAUUUUUCCCACUCCAGACUGGGCCCCCUUAGGUGCCAAGUCUAGAUUGUAUUUUUUUACUCAUCCUUCCCCAGUGUUUUCCCUUUUUCCCAUCUUUUAUGGGGCACCUUGUGGCGACCCAGCAGCGUUCCUGUUCUGUAACUCUGUACACGGUUGUUUGUCUAAUCUUGAACGGAUUUGUGCUGAAAACAAAGUUUUGUUGUACUUGUGCAAUGACAAUAAAGACCUAUCUAUCUA
Nerophis ophidion (straightnose pipefish) is the source of this 2630-nucleotide RNA transcript. It is a transcript of the gene named ras-related protein Rap-2a, with no coding region annotated. Lineage: Eukaryota; Metazoa; Chordata; Actinopteri; Syngnathiformes; Syngnathidae. The transcript has 4 exons. The record is from RefSeq and is a predicted model, not a curated record.